RNAcentral lists this ribosomal RNA (257 nucleotides) under uncultured bacterium. RNAcentral's name for it is "partial 16S ribosomal RNA". It matches the Rfam family "Bacterial small subunit ribosomal RNA", at positions 524 to 776 of the family's 1533-position model. The record is from RNAcentral.
UACGAAGGGUGCAAACGUUGCUCGGAAUUAUUGGGCGUAAAGCGCACGUAGGCGGCUUUGCAAGUCGGAUGUGAAAUCCCUCGGCUUAACCAAGGAAGUGCAUCCGAAACUGCAGAGCUUGAAGUACUUAAGAGGAUCGCGGAAUUCCCGGGUGUAGAGGUGAAAUUCGUAGAUAUACGGGAGGAACACCAGUGGCGAAGGCGGCGAUCUGGGAAGAGUACUGAACGCUGAGGUGCGAAAGCGUGGGAGCAAACAGG